UUUAAAGGGGUUAUUAAGGAUAACUAGCAAAUUUAUAUAAAAGGAGGCUUCUAAGCCAAAAGUCCCCAUACUCUUAAAGAAUAAUCAAAUUAAUAUUUUAUAUUUAUUAUUAUUACUUAAGAAAAUUACGAUAUGGGACGAUCCUAAGGUAAACCUUUUUAUUAUUACUUCCCGAAGUAAAACAUUUCAAUAGGGAAAGGAAAGGAAAUCAACCGAGACUCCGAAAGUAAUGGUGAGUGAAAUCGGAUUAGCCUACACCUUUACAUAUAAUAACAACAAAGAUUCUAUUUAAAAAUUAAAGUAAACUUAAUAAUUGAUUUUAACUUAUAGCUUAUAGAAUUAAAAUAAAAAUUAAGUAUAAAAUAUUUGGAUUAGUUAACUGAAUUUAAUUAAAUUUAAAUUUAAUGAUGGAAUAUUAGCUAAUUUAUAUAUUUUAAAUAAUUAAAUAUUGAUAUAAUAGUACAUAAAUUUAUUAUUAUAACAAUUUAAUGCUGAAAUUAAUAAAUAAGAAAUGAACUAAUAUAUUAUUUAUAAAUUUAAUUUAUAUUUAUUAUAUUAUUUACAUAGUAAUUACGAUUACUACUUAGAAGGUGAAAUUAGUAAAAUGAGACCUGUAUUUUAUAUGUAAAGUUUAUUAUAUUAAUAUUAUUUGAUUUUAUCUUAAAAUAUAUAUUGGUAUUAAUUUUUUUAAUAUUUGAUUUUGUUGUAAAUCUUAACAAUAUAAUUAAUAAUAUUUUUAUAAUAUUGUGAGUAUUUUAUUUUAUAAUUUUAUUAUUUAUUACAACUAAAUAAUUUUAUUAUAUUUACAUAUAUUACUAUUUAAAUUUUUAAAUUUUAAUUUAUGUAGGUAAUUUACAUUUUUAAGUACGAUGAGAGUUAACUUGUCGGAAUAUAGGGGAACCAUCCUCUAAGGCUAAGUAUUUAUAAAUUUAGCGAUAGUGAAAAGUACCGUGAGGGAAAAGUUGAAAAGAGUGUAGAAUAAUAUUAGAUGUAGAAACAGAAACAAAGAUACAUAGAAUAUUAGUUCUUUCGAAAGUAAAUAACGCAGUGAAACAGAUUUGAAUUAGUAACUCUAUAAGCAGUCAAAAUCAUAAAAAUUUAUAACAUGAUAAUGGCGUACCUUUUGCAUAAUGGGUCAGCAAGUUAAUAGGAGUAGCAAGGUUAAAAGCCUAAGCGAAAGCGACUAGGUCAUUUUUAAUAAGUGAAAUGGGUUAAGUUACUUCUAUUAGACCCGAAGCCAGGUGAUCUUUCCAAGACCAGAUUAUAAUGGAUCGAACGGUUGAAUGUUGCAUAAUUCUCCGAAGAGUUUUGGAAAGCGGUGAAAUGCCAAUCUGACCUGGUGAUAGCUGGUUUUCUACGAAACAUAUUUUAGUAUGACAUCUAUUCAAUAUUUAUGGAGGUACAGCACGGUAAUUCCAUACAAAUAUUAAAUUUAUUUUUAAUAGGAGUUUAAGUUGCGGGGACUUCGAAAAUCUUACCAAUGGAAAUAAAUCUCGGAAUUACAUAAAUAGAUGAUAGAUAUUCAGACUAUUCAUGAUAAGUUGGAUAGUCAAGACGGAAACAGCCGUGAACACAGAUUAAGGUCCCGAAUGAUUAUUAAGUGAAAUAAAGGAAGUGACAAAUCGAAUGCAGUUGAAAAGUGAGCCUGGUAGUCGCUACUUAUAAUGAACGUGUAUCAACGUAUCAGCCCUUAGAUUGUUGCCCCGAAGAUUUAACGGGUCUAAAAUAAUCAACCGAUAUCGUGUUAAUUUUAAAGAUAGAUUCUUAAUAAUAAUUAAUUUUUUAUUAUAUUUAUAUUUAAAAUUUAGGUAGUAGAACAUUCAGAUAAUUUAUAGAAAUAUAGACAAACUAUAGAAAUCCAAACCUAAAAUGAACAGUGUUACAUUGUUUAUAGGAAUCUGAAGAGAUAAUGCUGACAUGAGUAACGUAAAAAGAAAGUUUAAACUUUCUCGCCGAAUACGAAAGGGUUAUUAGCUAAAGAUUAAAUCUACUAAUGUUAAUGCGGUCUCUAAGGUACAAAACCAACGUUUUGGCUGAUGAGUUUAGCUUUGAAAGUCCACAUGGAGAAUAAAAUUUUACACAGAAUUUUUUUGUAAUUUCUUACAAGAAUAGAAGAUUAUAUUUUAAUAAUUUUAAGACAAUUUGCAAAAUUUAAUAUUGAAUUGUUCUGUUAUUAUAUUAUUUGAAUAUUUAAUAUAAUUCUAAAAUUUAUUAGUUUAUUAUUAAUAAAUAUUUUAGUAAAUUUUUAUAUUAAUUGGGGCCAGGAAGAAGAUGUUUAUUUGAAUAACUUCGAAUCUAUAUUCUAAUUUAGUCUUAUAUUUUUAGAAACUUAAAGUGAAUAUUUUAAGAUUAUAUUCUAUUAAAAAAAUAUACAUUAUAUUUUUUAUAUCUUUAAAUUAGUCACUUAAUUUUAUUUUAAUUUUUGUAUAUUUGUAUAAGCAAAAAAUCCUAAGUUAGUAGAAGUUGAUUUAUUAUUAUAAUUUGGUGAGAGUUGAAUUAUUUUAAUAUUUUAAUGAUUUAGGCUAGUUUUUUUUUAGAUUUAGUUUCUAAGCACAACCGUACCCUAAGCCGACACAGGUUCGUAGGUAGAGUAUACUAAGGCGUAGAGCUAAAAGUUGUUAAGGAACUCGGCAAAUUAUCCUCAUAAGUUCGACAACAAGAGGAACCAUGAAUCUUUUAUAAAUUAAUAACUCCUGUUAAUUUAUUUAUAUGGUGGCACAAAAUCGGAAGCCCCGACUGUUUACUAAAAACACAGCUGUCUGCGAUUAUGAAAAUAAUAGUAUAGAUAGCGAGAUUUGCCCAAUGCCAUAUGAAUAAGUAAUAUAAUGGGUAACUGUUUCUUUACAAAAAGGUGGUUAAUAGCGGUCUUAACUAUGAGGAUCCUAAGGUAGCAAAAUAAAUUGGCCAUUAAAUGUGGUCCAGUAUCAAUAAUUUAACGAUGGCUUCACUGUCUCUACAACUUGCUCAGUGAAAUUGAAUUACCCGUGCAGAUGCGGGUUGCCUCAAAUAGGACGGGAAGACCCCAUGCAGCUUUACUGUAGCUAGUUAUCACAUAUAAAGUUCUAUUACCUCGGUUAUACAGAUAAUAGGGAGUCGAUUAGACAUUUAUGGAAAACCUUAAGUCUGAGGUGGAACUGGUGUUUAUCUUUUUAUUUAUAAAAUUUAAGAGGAGAUAUUUGACUAGUUGGCAGUUUGACUGGGGCGGUCGUCUUUAAUAGAGUAGCAAAGUACAUCCAAAUAGAUUAAAAAAUUAAGAUCAUAUUUACUUUUUAAGUAAGGUUAAUAUUCUGACAAAUUAUUUUAUAUUGUAAAUUAUUAUUUUUAAUUAAUAAUUACUUUAAAAUCAAAUUUAAAAAAAUUCAUUAAUAAGGUAUGCUAGACAUUAAAUGGAGGUUAAUGAAUCAUGGAAGAUUCUGGAGAGUGCAAUGGCGGUAAGCAUGCUUAACUGAAAGACUUAAUAGUCGAACAGAUACGUAAGUAGGGCAUAGUGACCCCUUGCUAUAUUAUGGAAUAGACAGGGAUCAAUUGAUAAAAGUUACGCUGGGGAUAACAGCCUAAUAGCCAGCGAGAGUACACAUUGUCCUGGCUGUUUGGGACCUCGAUGUCGACUUAAUUUAUCCUCCAGGGGCAAAACCUUGGAAGGGUUCGGCUGUUCGCCGAUUAAAAAAUUACAUGAGUUGGGUUUAAUACGACGUGAGUCAGUAUGGUCCCUAUCCUUUUGAGGGACAAAUAGUAAAAAGGGGCAGACCUUCUAGUACGAAAGGACCAAUAGGCUGUGUUUCUCUAGUGUACCAAUUGUAAUAUUUCUUUAAUUUACAAAGAUUAAGAUGGAAACAACUGAUUAAAGUAAAUGAAAUAAAAUUUGCAUAGUUGGGUAGCCACAAACAUAUUAGAUAAUUACUGAAAGUAUAUCAAGUUCGAAUCUAUCCCCUAGAUACUAUCAAUGGAUUUCUCUUUGUUCUCUAUCACGAAUGGUAAUUAUUACUUUCCUAGUAUUAUAUCAUUUCUUGAAAUCGGUAAAAAUAUAUAUACUAAAGUUUUAUACUA
This 4047-nucleotide ribosomal RNA is filed under the name Paxillus rubicundulus. RNAcentral describes it as "large subunit ribosomal RNA". The stretch from base 859 to 4015 matches the Rfam family "Bacterial large subunit ribosomal RNA". The record is from RNAcentral. Lineage: Eukaryota; Fungi; Basidiomycota; Agaricomycetes; Boletales; Paxillaceae.